Molecule: ribosomal RNA, 253 nt
Filed under: uncultured bacterium
Lineage: Bacteria
Description: partial 16S ribosomal RNA
Rfam family: Bacterial small subunit ribosomal RNA
Source: RNAcentral
UACGAAGGGGGCUAGCGUUGCUCGGAAUCACUGGGCGUAAAGCGCACGUAGGCGGAUCUUUAAGUCAGAGGUGAAAUCCCAAGGCUCAACCUUGGAACUGCCUUUGAUACUGGGGAUCUCGAGUCCGGAAGAGGUGAGUGGAACUGCGAGUGUAGAGGUGAAAUUCGUAGAUAUCUGGAGGAAUACCGGUGGCGAAGGCGGCAUCCUGGACCGACAUUGACGCUGAGGAGCGAAAGCUAGGGGAGCAAACGGG